RNAcentral lists this ribosomal RNA (273 nucleotides) under uncultured bacterium. RNAcentral's name for it is "partial 16S ribosomal RNA". It matches the Rfam family "Bacterial small subunit ribosomal RNA", at positions 355 to 619 of the family's 1533-position model. The record is from RNAcentral.
UAGGGAAUCUUCCACAAUGGACGCAAGUCUGAUGGAGCAACGCCGCGUGAGUGAAGAAGGCUUUCGGGUCGUAAAACUCUGUUAUUGAAGAAGAACGUGUGUGACAGUAACUGGUCAUGCAGUGACGGUAUUCAAUCAGAAAGUCACGGCUAACUACGUGCCAGCAGCCGCGGUAAUACGUAGGUGGCAAGCGUUGUCCGGAUUUAUUGGGCGUAAAGCGAGUGCAGGCGGUCUUUUAAGUCUGAUGUGAAAGCCUUGCGGCUUAACCGAAGA